GACGAACGCUGGCGGCGUGCCUAAUACAUGCAAGUAGAACGCACAGUUUAUACCGUAGCUUGCUACACCAUAGACUGUGAGUUGCGAACGGGUGAGUAACGCGUAGGUAACCUGCCUGGUAGCGGGGGAUAACUAUUGGAAACGAUAGCUAAUACCGCAUAAUAUUAAUUAUUGCAUGAUAAUUGAUUGAAAGAUGCAACUGCAUCACUACCAGAUGGACCUGCGUUGUAUUAGCUAGUAGGUGAGGUAACGGCUCACCUAGGCGACGAUACAUAGCCGACCUGGGAGGGUGAUCGGCCACACUGGGACUGGGACACGGGCCAGGCUCCUACGGGGGGCAGCAGUAGGGAAUCUUCGGCAAUGGGCGAAAGGCUGACCGAGCAACGCCGCGUGAGUGAAGAAGGUUUUCGGAUCGUAAAGCUCUGUUGUAAGAGAAGAACGGGUGUGAGAGUGGAAAGUUCACACUGUGACGGUAUCUUACCAGAAAGGGACGGCUAACUACGUG
RNAcentral lists this ribosomal RNA (505 nucleotides) under uncultured bacterium. Its description in RNAcentral is "partial 16S ribosomal RNA". It matches the Rfam family "Bacterial small subunit ribosomal RNA", at positions 28 to 507 of the family's 1533-position model. The record is from RNAcentral.